AAAACCACCUAAAAUAAAUGUGAUACAGAUACUAGCCAGGACAAGGGGGUUCCGAUGGGCAGAAGCGUAUAAGUCCAAUUUAUGUGUAGAAGUCGCUUGAGUUGGGCCUUGGGUUAUAGUAUAAAUCAAGAGUGGGUAUCUUCAGAUGUAAUUGAAUGGAUGUAACAGAGGUAAAAUUUCAAGUACCGUAAUGACUAAUAUGGCAGUGACAAAUUUUGGGGAGGCUAGGGUACCACCUUAAGUGUGCCAAGUCAUGAAGGAAAUGCUUAAGUUUGCUUAGCAUCUUUCCGAGACUCACACAAGGAGGAUUUGGAAAGAUGUCUAAUACAACCAAAAGAGGAGAAUCAAAAGAUCAACAAUGAUUGCUUUAAAAUGUUGGCUUCUGCCAGUGUUGCCCCAAGUAUAUUUAUCCCUCUUCCUUUCUACUCCUCAAUUUUCAGACACUUUGAUGAAACAGAAUAAAACUGUACUUUUUUUUUUAGAUAUUCCUAUGCAUUCUACUGCUUUAAUCCCACCUAAGUAGAGAUGUCCACAACAGAGAGAAUGGAGCUGUCACAUCGUUUCAACUGCCCAGGAAAGGACUCAGGCAACAAAUAAACAGCUAAGAUUUUACUAGAGUAUGAAAGGGAGAGCACUGGAGUGCAGUGCGGGGAUGGAGAUGCAGCUGUGGUGGCUGGAAGUACAGGAGGGCAGCUGGAGGCACCUGGCCUCUGAAGCCUGUCUUCUUCAUCUGGGUGAGAUCUGCUGGAGUCAGGAAGGACUUCCUGCUGCAAGGAUAAAGGUGAAGUGUGGUGGCGUAAUCAUGACUCACUGCAGCCUCGAACUCCGGGACUCAAGCUAAUCUCUUUCCUCAGCCUUCCCAGCAGCUGGGACUACAGAAUCCCACCCAUCCUAAGGCAUUACAUUUAGUCAUCAUAGCUCUUUCUUCACAGAAUUAGAAAAAACUACUUUAAAUUUCAUAUGGAACCAAAAAAGAGCCCAUAUAGCCAAGAAAAUCUUAAGCAAAAAGAACAAAGAUGGAGGCAUCAUGCUAACUGACUUCAAACUAUACUACAAGGCUACAGUAACCAAAACAGCAUGGUACUGGUGCCAAAACAGAUAUAUAGACCAAUGGAAUAGAACAGAGGCCUCAGAAAAACGUCACCCAUCUACAACCAUCUGAUCUUCAACAAAUCUGACAAAAACAAAUAAUGGGGAAGAAAUUCUGUAUUUAAUAAAUGAUCUUGGGAAAACUGGCUAGCCACAUGCAGAAAACUGAAGCUGGGCUCCUUCCUUACACCUUAUACAAAAAUUAACUCAAGAUGGAUUAAAGACUUAAACGUAAGACCUAAAACCAUAGAAACCCUAGAAGAAUACCUAGGCAAUACCAUUGAGGACACAGACAUGGGCAAAUGACUAAAGCAACAAAAGCCAAAAUUGACAAAUGGGAGCUAAUUAAACUAAAGAGCUUCUGAACAGCAAAAGAAACUAUCAUCAGAGUGAACAGGCAACCUACAGAAUGGGAGAAAAUUUUUGCAAUCUAUCCACCUGACAAAGGGCUAAUAUCCAGAAUCUACAAAUAACUUAAACAAAUUUACAAGAAAAAAAACAAACAACCCCAUCAAGAAGUGGGUGAAGGAUAUGAAAAGACACUUCUCAAAAGAAGACAUUUAUGUGGCCAACAAACAUGAAAAAAAGCUCAUCAUCACUGGGCAUUAGAGAAAUGCAAAUCAAAACCACAAUGAGAUACCAUCUCACGCCAGUUAGAAUGGCGAUCUUUAAAAAGUCAGGAAACAACAGAUGCUGGAGAGGAUGUGGAGAGAUAGGAAUGCUUUUACACUGUUGGUAGGAGUGUAAAUUAGUUCAGCAAUUGUGGAAGACUGUGUGGAGAUUCCUCAAGGAUCUAGAACCAGAAAUGCCAUUUGACCGAGCAAUCCCAUUACUGGCUAUAUACCCAAAGGAUUAUAAAUCAUUCUACUAUAGAGACACAUCCACCUGUAUGUUGAUUGCAGCACUGUUCACAAUAGCAAAGACUUGGAACCAAUGCAAAUGCCCAUCAAUGAUCGGCUGGAUAAAGAAAAUGUGGCACAUAUACACCGUGAAAUACUAUGUAGCCAUAAAAAAGGAUGAGUUCAUGUCCUUUGCAGGGAUAUGGAUGAAGCUGGAAACCAUCAUUCUCUGCAAACUAAUACAGGAACAGAAUGCCAAACACCACAUGUUCUCACUCAUAAGUGGGAGUUGAACAAUGAGAACACAUGAAUACCGGGAGGGAACAUCACACACCAGGGCCUGUCAGAGGGUCGGGGGCUAGGGAAGGGAUAGCAUUAGGAGAAAUACCUAAUGUAGAUUAUGGGUUGAUGGGUGCAGCAAACCACCAUGGCACAUGUAUAGCUAUGUAACAAACCUGCACGUUCUACACAUGUAUCCCAGAACUUAAAGCAUAAGUAAAAUAAAAAAAUAAUUAAAUGAGGAAGAAGAGUCAAAUUUUUGUGCAGAAAAAUUUGAAAGAAUUUAUGUAGAUACUACUUCCUCAAUGAGGAAGAGCAUAACUCUAUGCUCUUUAAGUCGGACAUGAACAUACUCAUUUCUUUCAAAAGAGUACAAUAUGAAAAGAGGGAAAAAGAAUAACUGUACAGUAAAGAAACCUGACAAUUGCUACCUUGGCCAAGUGACCCAGGUCAACAUCAACAGUGAUAGUGACGUUUAUGUCAUGUCCACUUGAAAUGAUGUGAUUAAAAAAAGGCACUUUACCUCUGUGUUCUUCUUCCUAUUCCCAUAAUUCCAG
Molecule: long non-coding RNA, 2764 nt
Filed under: Homo sapiens (human)
Lineage: Eukaryota; Metazoa; Chordata; Mammalia; Primates; Hominidae
Description: PREDICTED lncRNA (TCONS_00209331)
Source: RNAcentral